RNAcentral lists this ribosomal RNA (252 nucleotides) under uncultured bacterium. RNAcentral's name for it is "partial 16S ribosomal RNA". It matches the Rfam family "Bacterial small subunit ribosomal RNA", at positions 524 to 776 of the family's 1533-position model. The record is from RNAcentral.
UACGUAGGAUGCGAGCGUUAUCCGGAUUUAUUGGGUUUAAAGGGUGCGUAGGCGGAUUUUUAAGUCAGCGGUAAAAUGUCCGGGCUCAACCCGGGCCGGCCGUUGAAACUGGGGAUCUUGAGUGGGCGAGAAGUAUGCGGAAUGCGUGGUGUAGCGGUGAAAUGCAUAGAUAUCACGCAGAACUCCGAUUGCGAGGGCAGCAUACCGGCGCCCGACUGACGCUGAGGCACGAAAGCGUGGGGAUCGAACAGG